Molecule: ribosomal RNA, 274 nt
Filed under: uncultured bacterium
Lineage: Bacteria
Description: partial 16S ribosomal RNA
Rfam family: Bacterial small subunit ribosomal RNA
Source: RNAcentral
AUACGGAGGGGACAAGCGUUGUUCGGAAUCAUUGGGCGUAAAGCGGGUGUAGGCGGCUUGGCAAGUCGGGUGUGAAAUCCCUGGGCUCAACCCAGGAACUGCACUCGAAACUGCCUCGCUAGAGUCCCGGAGAGGGUGGCGGAAUUCCCGGUGUAGAGGUGAAAUUCGUAGAUAUCGGGAGGAACACCAGUGGCGAAGGCGGCCACCUGGACGGUGACUGACGCUCAGACCCGAAAGCGUGGGGAGCAAACAGGAUUAGAAACCCGGGUAGUCC